This 340-nucleotide long non-coding RNA is filed under the name Cicer arietinum (chickpea). RNAcentral's name for it is "long non-coding RNA (CARI_LNC003022)". Lineage: Eukaryota; Viridiplantae; Streptophyta; Magnoliopsida; Fabales; Fabaceae. The record is from RNAcentral.
UAAUUCACAUUCACUGGCUUAAGAGCUAAUGAAUGCGGAGUGACAGUUGGUCCUGACUCUAACAAGUAAGUAAACCACCUUUGAAUGCUCGUGCAUUCAUAGAAGAUAAAUCAGUAAAUCAGGACAGGAACAGUCUCCGGCAGUCAGGUACAAGCAAGUAAGAGAAGAAGGUAAAGGCCUGACUCCGUUCCUGAAGAAGGAAUGGCGGGGCGAAAGAGCUACCUGGAAGCUAGUUACGGUUGUGCAAAGAAUAUGAAGGAAACUGGUACCCUAUUAGUUCAGUCAGUCAGUGACAAGUGAGAAGAAGGAUAUCCGGUUCCAAAGACUCAUCACAAAUAUC